Molecule: ribosomal RNA, 1443 nt
Filed under: uncultured organism
Description: 16S ribosomal RNA
Rfam family: Bacterial small subunit ribosomal RNA
Source: RNAcentral
UCAGGAUGAACGCUAGCUACAGGCUUAACACAUGCAAGUCGAGGGGCAGCAUGGUCUUAGCUUGCUAAGGCCGAUGGCGACCGGCGCACGGGUGAGUAACACGUAUCCAACCUGCCGUCUACUCUUGGACAGCCUUCUGAAAGGAAGAUUAAUACAAGAUGGCAUCAUGAGUCCGCAUGUUCACAUGAUUAAAGGUAUUCCGGUAGACGAUGGGGAUGCGUUCCAUUAGAUAGUAGGCGGGGUAACGGCCCACCUAGUCUUCGAUGGAUAGGGGUUCUGAGAGGAAGGUCCCCCACAUUGGAACUGAGACACGGUCCAAACUCCUACGGGAGGCAGCAGUGAGGAAUAUUGGUCAAUGGGCGCAAGCCUGAACCAGCCAAGUAGCGUGAAGGAUGACUGCCCUAUGGGUUGUAAACUUCUUUUAUAAAGGAAUAAAGUCGGGUAUGGAUACCCGUUUGCAUGUACUUUAUGAAUAAGGAUCGGCUAACUCCGUGCCAGCAGCCGCGGUAAUACGGAGGAUCCGAGCGUUAUCCGGAUUUAUUGGGUUUAAAGGGAGCGUAGAUGGAUGUUUAAGUCAGUUGUGAAAGUUUGCGGCUCAACCGUAAAAUUGCAGUUGAUACUGGAUAUCUUGAGUGCAGUUGAGGCAGGCGGAAUUCGUGGUGUAGCGGUGAAAUGCUUAGAUAUCACGAAGAACUCCGAUUGCGAAGGCAGCCUGCUAAGCUGCAACUGACAUUGAGGCUCGAAAGUGUGGGUAUCAAACAGGAUUAGAUACCCUGGUAGUCCACACGGUAAACGAUGAAUACUCGCUGUUUGCGAUAUACUGCAAGCGGCCAAGCGAAAGCGUUAAGUAUUCCACCUGGGGAGUACGCCGGCAACGGUGAAACUCAAAGGAAUUGACGGGGGCCCGCACAAGCGGAGGAACAUGUGGUUUAAUUCGAUGAUACGCGAGGAACCUUACCCGGGCUUAAAUUGCAGAUGAAUUACGGUGAAAGCCGUAAGCCGCAAGGCAUCUGUGAAGGUGCUGCAUGGUUGUCGUCAGCUCGUGCCGUGAGGUGUCGGCUUAAGUGUCAUAACGAGCGCAACCCUUGUUGUCAGUUACUAACAGGUUCCGCUGAGGACUCUGACAAGACUGCCAUCGUAAGAUGUGAGGAAGGUGGGGAUGACGUCAAAUCAGCACGGCCCUUACGUCCGGGGCUACACACGUGUUACAAUGGGGGGUACAGAGGGCCGCUACCACGCGAGUGGAUGCCAAUCCCAAAAACCUCUCUCAGUUCGGACUGGAGUCUGCAACCCGACUCCACGAAGCUGGAUUCGCUAGUAAUCGCGCAUCAGCCACGGCGCGGUGAAUACGUUCCCGGGCCUUGUACACACCGCCCGUCAAGCCAUGGGAGCCGGGGGUACCUGAAGUGCGUAACCGCGAGGAGCGCCCUAGGGUAAAACUGG